Molecule: ribosomal RNA, 204 nt
Filed under: uncultured bacterium
Lineage: Bacteria
Description: partial 16S ribosomal RNA
Rfam family: Bacterial small subunit ribosomal RNA
Source: RNAcentral
GAGGUGCGAAAGCCUGGGGAGCAAACAGGAUUAGAUACCCUGGUAGUCCACGCCGUAAACGAUGUCAACUAGCCGUUGGAAUCCUUGAGAUUUUAGUGGCGCAGCUAACGCAUUAAGUUGACCGCCUGGGGAGUACGGCCGCAAGGUUAAAACUCAAAUGAAUUGACGGGGGCCCGCACAAGCGGUGGAGCAUGUGGUUUAAUC